UACGUAGGGUGCGAGCGUUAAUCGGAAUUACUGGGCGUAAAGCGUGCGUAGACGGUUAUUUAAGUCGGAUGUGAAAGCCCCGGGCUCAACCUGGGAAUUGCAUUCGAGACUGAAUAGCUAGGGUGCGGUAGAGGGAAGCGGAAUUUCCGGUGUAGCGGUGAAAUGCGUAGAUAUCGGAAGGAGCAUCAGUGGCGAAAGCGGCUUCCUGGACCAGCACCGACGUUCAGGCACGAAAGCGUGGGGAGCAAACAGG
This 253-nucleotide ribosomal RNA is filed under the name uncultured bacterium. RNAcentral's name for it is "partial 16S ribosomal RNA". It matches the Rfam family "Bacterial small subunit ribosomal RNA", at positions 524 to 776 of the family's 1533-position model. The record is from RNAcentral.